CCCAUUACUUAGGAUGCCAACCACUCAAUGCACUUUUGUCAACGGUGAUCAUUCCCCUCCAUCUUCUGCACCCCAAUUACAGUAGCGUGUAGUUGGCUUGCUACCAGACCUUGCUAAUGUUAGCCAUAGUGGAGUUGAUGAGCUACAAUGCCAUGUUAUUUUCACUUUGGGUCAAAAGUGUGACUAAUUAUUUCCAAAAGAAUCGAUCAAGACAACUAACUACACUUUGAAUACCUACCUGGGUUGUCGUCUGCAAUUUGUCUUCUGAAUAUUUAUUCCCUGCCUUUGAUCAAACCAAUUUGUCUUCUGCCAAUAAAUAGAUUAUUGCUCUGAAGGGCUCUCUGCGGAAACCUUCUUACAUCGAGUAGAUCACCCUUGGCUGCUGGAGCAUUUGGACAACGAGAAACGCAGCAAUCU
RNAcentral lists this long non-coding RNA (417 nucleotides) under Triticum aestivum (bread wheat). Its description in RNAcentral is "long non-coding RNA (TAES_LNC014938)". The record is from RNAcentral. Lineage: Eukaryota; Viridiplantae; Streptophyta; Magnoliopsida; Poales; Poaceae.